CCGUUGUGAUGAUGGUUUCAAAACACAUUCUUAGUUUCAGUCAGAAACCUUGUGUUGGCCAGUUCCUCCCUUGGAUGUCUGAGUUAUGG
Molecule: small nucleolar RNA, 89 nt
Filed under: Nannospalax galili (Upper Galilee mountains blind mole rat)
Lineage: Eukaryota; Metazoa; Chordata; Mammalia; Rodentia; Spalacidae
Description: Small nucleolar RNA SNORD14 (ENSNGAG00000006627.1)
Source: RNAcentral